RNAcentral lists this transfer RNA (64 nucleotides) under Cryptocercus punctulatus (brown-hooded cockroach). RNAcentral describes it as "tRNA-Glu". The record is from RNAcentral. Lineage: Eukaryota; Metazoa; Arthropoda; Insecta; Blattodea; Cryptocercidae.
GUUCAUAUAGUUUAUAAAAAACGUUACAUUUUCAAUGUAGAAAAAAAGGAAACUUUUUUAAACU